Molecule: long non-coding RNA, 4125 nt
Organism: Oncorhynchus nerka (sockeye salmon)
Lineage: Eukaryota; Metazoa; Chordata; Actinopteri; Salmoniformes; Salmonidae
Exons: 4
Source: RefSeq, a predicted model, not a curated record
UGCCAUGCAUCAGGUCAAACUGCUUUCUGCCCUGUCAAGAAACAUCUGUAUGACUUUUUAGCCAUUCAGAAGGCAAAGCUGACCUCAUAUUUACACCCAGCUGCUUUUUGAUAAUGAAAAGCUAUCUCUGUCGUACACGAUAGGCUACGGCCACUCAAUAGAUAACCACAAAGAUCCUGGCCCCUCCCUGGCCUGGAAAACUACAUCCUGUGUAUUGUGACAGAGAGCUGAUAUGGAGCUCCGAGGGGGUUGGUCAAUACGUGACCAACCGGCUCAAUUCGGUUUUAUGUAGCAACAUUUGAAAUGGUGUUUUUUGCUUUGGAUAAAAGUAGAGACUCAGAGCUGGAAAAUGAUAUAUCAUACACUACAGUUGAGGUACAAUGGGAAAGUAAUUCUGCUUUGAAAGUUACUUGUAACCUCACUUUUGAGAAAAUGGCCCUUGAAUGUAUUGGUACACAUACUGGAGAGCUCUUUUUGUCUACACCCAUUCAGCAUCGUUCACACCCUCUUAAGAUUUAGCCCCACCCAUCUCUUUAAGGAUUCACAUGUGAGGCCGUGUACUAAACAACCAAAGAUUUCAAGACUAAAGGCUGGUUUAUACUACAGGUUUGUUCGUAAAUUUAUUCUGGAGUGCCAAAGUGUGCUCAGAGUGUGCUCUGGGCGUCCGUAAACUCAGAGUGUUGUCAGAUUGUCCAUUCGUAAAUUCAGAGUUUUUCGCUCUCAGAGCGUUUAGAGCGCACACUGGACGCUCUGGCCAAGGAGCACCCAAGCUAACUGGCUAAAGUUGGUGAUUGCAAAUGUGCUGCUGGCAACAAUUGAAUAACUUUUUUUUGCCAACAUUUACUGACAUCGGCCAUAUUCAAUGGGUGUUGAGCGUUCGUUAAUUCAUCAGUUAUUCUGCGCUCUGGCACACACAGACGAGAGUGCUCUGAAAUCGGAGUAGAUAGCCAGAGCGAAUUUACCAUCUACGUCUAGCGACAGUUGUCGCAGUGACAUCAUGAACAUUCUAUUGAAAUGGUUACUUGCAUAGUGGAGUCUUUUGUUUAGACAUAUAGCUAGCUAGCUAAACAAUGAACCAUAAUCCCAACUCAUAACGUUCAAUGUUAGCUAGCUAGGUUAUUAGGCUAUAACUAGCAAUACAAAUGGCUCUGAGAUACGAAUAAUAUAACUACACACAUCAUACACGUAACUUUAGCUAGCGAGAGAGCCAGCUAACGUUAGCUAGCUAACAGUACACAUUAACUUAAAAUGAAAACAACUUACUGACUAAAUUAGAUACGUGUAAUAUCUGAAAAUGUAGCUAGCUAGACUGUCUUACCUGUAUAAAUGUAUGGACGCUUCUCCCUCUCUAUCACAGAUGCCAUGGUUGCCCAUAGUUUGAAGAUGUAAUCCGGAGACAGGUGUUUAAUACAACAGCCUUCUGUUUGUUCUCUUUUCGACUCAGUCUGCAUAUUUGCAAUCAAACACCAGAAUUUUCUCCAUCCUCUUAGCUAUCAUACUCUACUUCCACUGAUUUCCAAACUCCAGAAAGUGGAUAACAACACCUUUGCAGUAUCUUUCAAAAAAAGACGCGUUAGAAAGGAUUACCUACACAUACUGACCAGAUCAUGUUUUAGACAGAAGUGUGCUACAUGGCAGACCAAUCCGAACUCAUCUCUUGGCAUGUACAGCUCACUUAUUAUCUCAACCAAUCAUGGCUAGCGGGAAGGUUCCUGUCUCUUUCUGUGGCUAAACCAACUAGGCUCGUAAUUUAAAAAUUGUAUUCGUAUUUACAGAUGGCAUACAAGUUUGUUAUUAAGGCACGUGAAAGUUCACGUUACAGAAAGCAGUUCUGCCAAAAAUCGCAUCUCCUCUGAAGUAGUGAUGUGCGACAUGCGCCUAGUUUCCUAAAACGAGUCACAUAUUAUGGUGAAAUGAUCUUGGUUAUACAGUGGCAUGUUAAACAAGAGAGAACAUUUUAGAAACACUCUCUCUAAGCAUGCACACCAGUGUUUCCUUUGCGUUCGUUUAAGUGUGGCGCUGCUCCACAACAUAAUCAUUCUCGCCACACCAAAAGAAACAUCCUAUUUCUCCCAAACAUAGUUUCAAUACAGUUCUGUACAGCACAUUCACUUUUCUUGGUAAAUAGAUAUCCUGUCUUGGUUCAACACACUUCUGAAGGUUAUUUAGCUCUGUGAGCUGUGGCAGGCAACCAGUGAGCGAGUGACCAGUGCUCGAUACAAAAGCUCUGCGGCGCAAAGCACAAUUCACUUGAAUCACUUCAGAGUGCUUCUGCGUGAGGAACUGAAAGAAAGGUACGUUAGUUUAUUUGACUAAAGUCAGCUAGCCAGCUUGUUAACUACAUAAGCUAGCUAUAACCUUAACUCUUCUAGCAUCAUUUAGAUCUAUAAUAUUGCUGCCGCAAUUGUAACAGCAAUUAUCUAUCCAAUAUCCACAAGUAUGUUGAUGAUAGAAACAUGGUUAACUAGCGUUACUAGUCUAGCAAGUUAGCUAGCUAGUUCGUUCGGAACUGUAUCAAGUGCAAGCAAGAUAGCUACAUUUAUCCGUCUUUGAUUACAUAACUUUUUUCUCAGAUGACUUUAUUUAAAUAUUUCCAGCCGCAGCAGCGAAAGAGAAAGGGGGAGCAGGGACAAACUUUAUUUUGUUAGCUAACUCUUUAAAAGCUUAAGUUAUCAUUUUUAUAACAAGUGUAUGGCUUACUUUACUAGACAGAGAAGAGGUGGAAUCCCGGGAGUGAGGUAGGGAUGCAUAAGGGACAGAAUGGAGCAGAGGAAAGGAAAGCGCCAGGAGGGGAGAUGGAGGUGCGAAAAGGAGAGAGGGUAGCAGAGUGGAACAGAGGAAAGGAGAGAGCCAGGAAGGGAGAUGGAGGUGCGAAAAGGAGAGAGGGGAGCAGAGGGAACAGAGGAAAGGAGAGAGCCAGGAAGGGAGAUGGAGGUGCGAAAAGGAGAGAGGGGAGCAGAGUGGAACAGCGGAAAGGAGAGAGCCAGGAAGGGAGAUGGAGGUGCGAAAAGGAGAGAGGAGAGCAGAGUGGAACAGAGGAAAGGAGGGAGCCAGGAAGGGAGAUGGAGGUGCGAAAAGGAGAGAGGGGAGCAGAGUGGAACAGAGGAAAGGAGGGAGCCAGGAAGGGAGCUGGAAGGAGAAAAGGAGAGGGGAGUAAGGCCAAGUGCCCACCACCGGCAAUCCGAAUGGGAUUUAAAGUGGUUUAAUAUUUACAGACUGAAGCCGUGGCUAUAUAAUACGCCACAUGGUUAGUCGAAUAUCCUUUAAUUAAUCUAAGGGCUAAAAAUGUUUGGUCUAUACUAGUCUACAGCAUUAUGUGUGUUUUUCUGAGCCAACUCCACCAGGACCUCGAUGACCCAAUGGGUCUGGAGGGAGAGGAGGCCAGGUGGAGAAGACCAAGACCAGGGAACAGUUCUGGGUUUGGUUCAGAGAGGAGUCAUGGAUCCAUGUCUUGUUGGCCUCCAGGACAGCCUAAACCGGAGGUUCCAACAUCUGGAGAUUCUGGGGGCCUUCAGUAUGUUGGGACCUCAGGCUGCAUUCUCUAGUGAGAGGAUAAACACCUUUAAACUGACCCUCCUCUCCAGGCAGUUCUUGCAAGUGUCAGAGGCUGCUGUGAUACAAGAGUGGCCCUCUUACAAGCAACGUUGGAAAAUUGAAGGGAUUGGACCAGCUGACAGCAAUGACAAAGCUGGCCUCGCAGUUUGGUGAGUGAGGGCAGUCUACCCCUGCCUUAGUCAGCUGGCAGCGAUCGCACGGACUAUACCAGUGUCUUCCGCUAAUUGUCAAAACAGACUUGAGGAACAGACUGCAGGGAGAGCAUCUAUCCACCUGCAUGCAGCUCUCCAUCAAUGGCCCUCCCAUCAAGGAGCUCAAUUACAGGAGGGCGUUGGAAAUCUUUUUCCAAAAUCCCAGAAGAAUAAAGUGCUCUGACAAGGGCUGUAAACUAUGUUAGAACUAGGUUUUUGUCAGAACCUGGAAAGAGAUUUCCAACACCCUUCUUUUGUGAUGGACAUGAAUUAGUGGACUCUAAUUCAUGUUCAGUCUCAUGUUCCUCUGUUCUGUCCAGAUAAACUUUUUUUUAUUUCAGAAAGGUCUCUGUUGUGUUUCUUUAGAUAGCUGCAGCAC